This 59-nucleotide transfer RNA is filed under the name Apaloderma vittatum (bar-tailed trogon). It matches the Rfam family "tRNA", at positions 8 to 63 of the family's 71-position model. From Rfam's summary of the family: Transfer RNA (tRNA) molecules are approximately 80 nucleotides in length. The record is from Rfam by way of RNAcentral. Lineage: Eukaryota; Metazoa; Chordata; Aves; Trogoniformes; Trogonidae.
UAGCUCAGUCGGUUAGAGCGUGGUGCUGAUAACACCAAGGUUGUGGGUUCAAUCCUCGU